AGAUGCCACAUCACACCACACUCUCUCUCUCUCUCUCUCUCUCUCUCUCUCUCUUCCUCACUCUCUGUCUGCUCUCUCAUUCGCUCCGCCGGCUUGUCGCUGGCUGUCAGUUCAUUUGCCGCGGCAGAGCAACAACUGGCUUCUUUCAGCGCUGGGAGCAGAGAGGGGAAGGCGAGAACGGCGGGACGAGUGCAAGAAGAAGAAAAAAGAAGUGAAGGAGGACGAGAAGAGGAGAAAAAAGGAGAUCUUUUGUUAAGCAUCCUUCCCUCCCCUUCAUCCCUCUCUGGCAGCAGCAGCAUCAGCACCACUGCCUCCACCGCCGCUCCCGCUGCUGGAUCCUCCGUCCCCUGCCGGGAUCUGCCUCCUCCUUCUCCUCAGGGAGCUCUUCCUGGAACUGGGAGGGGGAGGGAGAUCAGCACCUCCCAGCUUGCCGCGGACCCUCGGCAAAGGCAUCAGGAGGAAUGGAAGGGGAGGGUAUUUUAGAAGAGGCCGUCAGGAGAGCAGAGGAGAGGCAACACCCUGGUUUACAGGAGAGCCGAGAGGAGAAGAAUCAAAGAGGAUGUCAUUAUGCCCUGGUAGGGCCACACAGGAGCAUCGACAGCAGCGGGGAAACCAAAUGUCACCGCUGGAUGAGAACUUCCAGAGGACAGGGACGGUGCUGCUAGGCCGCGGCCCAGAGGAGCCAUUGAUGGAGCCUUGCCUCACGCUGCAGCAAGGCGUCUUCAAUCAAUGCGACUGGCCCACUCUCUCUGUAUGUGUAUGUGUCUGUUUGCCGCCGGAGCCUGAAGGGGGGCUGCUGAUGGCGGCGGCGGUGGUGAUGGUGGUGGUGAUGAUGAUGAUGCGAUGGCAGUGGCGCUGCCCACGUGGUUUCUGGCUUAGCUCCCCGCGUUUACUGAAAGACUCUCUUCGGUGACGGGUAUUCUUGGGUGGAUAAUACGGAUCACGUUGUUAUUGCUUAAGAAUACGCGUAGUCGAGGAGAGUCCUCUCUUCGCCCAACACCAGCAACACCCCCCAUCCCCCGACACCCACCCACCUCACCUCACCUCACCCCUGACUACCCACCCACCCACGGAGGACUGUCAGGACUGUCUCCACCUAUCCAAAAAAGAAACACCCCGCCUCUUCUUUGUCCUGUACUGCAUUGCACUGUUGUUUUUUCCCUUCUGCCCACUUCCUAUCUGCCGAGCCAUGGUUCGAGGUCGAUAGUGUCCUCACGUCUAUCCCACCAUGCAUCCUGUCAAUCUGUCUCUGUCUCCGUGGCGAUGGGCAACGCAGUGUGUGUGUUUUGUUUCCGUCUGUGUGUCUGUCGGAGUUGUUGCUUCUCGAUUGUUCGGUGUCGCAGAGAAAAAAAACGUGUCUUCGUCUCGUCUGACAACAACUUCUGAUAACUCUCACUGCAUGAGCGGUGCCUGUUCCCAUAAUGCAAGGCCAGCAUGGCAGCCUGCACACUAACACCAACACGUAUAAUUACAAUAGGAGGGUCAGGGUUUAUUAGUGGUUUUGCAGAUACGGGGUCAGUAAAUGACAAAUCAUAUGAAAGCGGCACAAUUUUAUUUGUAAACCAAAGAUGUAAACAAUACACAAUGCUAAUUUCAGUGCUCUGAUCACCAGUGACCAGUUGACCAGUAUGGCCGGAUAAACCUACUACAGGGCCUUGGGGCAAUAAUAAGCAAGUAGACCCCCAUUAACCCCCCUCUCCACUCAUCCUCUGAAAUGGGUGGUCAUUUGAUUAACCCAUUAAUGUCCACAGUGGAAUUUUAUAAUUUCACUGCACUUAAAUUACUAGCUGAGUCAAGCACAAAUCCAGUUACAUUUUUAAAAUUGGUUAAAUUAUUAUAAUUUUCUUUCCCCAGGAAAGGUUAAGAAUUUCAAAAAUUCAUAAUUUUUGAUUCACACAUAGUCUGGACUGUUAUAAUAUAGGUUAAAAAGAAAAAUGAUAAUAUUUUGCUUUUUCUUGGUCCAUUGUUGCCAUUGUGCAGAAAUGUUAUAAUGUAUUCGUAUGGGAUAAAAUGAGUAACUCCUAAUGACUAAUAACUAAAUAUAUUAUGAUGCAGAAAUGGCUGUAUUAUAUGAUGUUUUAUCAAAUGCUUGGCCCCAUUGAAUUUGGAACAACUUCAAUAAUUCAAUAUGUGCUUUGAUCCAGUGUAAAUCUGAUCUUUAACAUGUCAAAUUUAUGUUUUUUAUGUUUUUUUUUUUAAAAGGAAAAUCAACUUAUCUACCAAAUAAGGCCUGGUACAUAUGUUCAAUCAAACAUUUUGAUUUUGUCAUGUGUUGGCAUUUGUUGACAGUUUCCACAGCAGAUUUUGGGUUUCAACCUCGAACAGAAAACAAUACAUGGGACUUUUUCUUAACAUACUAAAUAUAGACGUUAGUCGUUAAUGGGUUUUGGAACAUGCAAAAUGUAAACGCAAAACUAAAAUUAGUGAAAGUCAAGAGACUAGAUUUUGAUAUAGACCCUCUUCAAGACAGGGGCCUCAGGAUUAGGAAAUAAAGCUGGACCCACUUUGAGGGCCCUAUUAUCAGUUGAUUUUGCACAAAUUGAAUGAGCACAAACCAGUUCACAUACAGCUCCAGGGGCCGCUUUGUUAUCAGUAAUCCAGCCUUGCUGGCCAAGUACAGUUAAUCAUAUAUUCUAUAAAACAUCAGAAGAAAGUGAAAAUACCUGAACAAUCAAAAACCCCUAAAUAUUAACCACUAGAUGUUUAGCAUUUUUGCUGGAUUAAUGACAUAAAUUGACUUUGACUGAAUUGAUUACCUAAAUCACUGUUCAAAUCAAUUAUUGACUGACUGUUCCAGUUCUAAUCAUCGUCUGUGAUGAAAAAGGUUCUCGACUAGUAACCCUUUUAUUUUGGGUUUGUCAUUUUCGGGCCUGUGCGUUAAAGAAAGGACAUAAAAGAUAAAGUUUUGCUUUCGUUCGUUUAGGCCCUGCUAAUAGUCUAAAAGCUGUGUAAGACCUCAUCAUAAUGAAAAUAUUAGUAUAUAGUAGUAGUAUAUAUAUAGUAUAGAAUAUAAGUAUUUUACUUUACUAAUAAGUCAAAUUAAGCCUGUAAUAUUUGAUGAGGUCUGAGCAGACAGUAUUUCAUCUGGUUGUGCUUAUAGAGUGGAACCUAUUCUCCAUGUAGUGCGUUUAUUAUGGGGCUGAGCCGAGCUGCCUCUCACAUUCCCCCCCUUUAUGCCCCUUUUUUAUGCAAAUGGUUGCUCAAAUGACAUUUAUCGCAGUGAGGUUUACACCACAUGUAAUGCUGCUGCUGCCGCUGAGCCUCACACACACACACACACACACACACACACACACACACACCGAGAAAACAAAAUGUCCACCACGAGCGGUCGACAGCUCAACUUAUGCAACGAGGAGAGAGGCGUCUAGAUAAACAAUUACCCCUGGCUCAAACGCUCUAUAACCACCUUUCCCGUGAUGCGCCAUGAAUAUGGAUUCCCUCUCCAUGUCUGAUGGCACAUUCUGAACCUUAACACCCAUGUAAAAUCCAUUUAAACACCUAAUAGGAUCAACUUGACUCAUACAGCCACGUCCUCACGCAUGUCACCUCCCGUGAUCAUUCGCUGGAGAUUUCCUCGUUGUGUCAGGGCUAGUGUAAAUCACUUCUUUUACACGCCUUCCUCCUAGCUCGUAUGGAAUAUCAAAUGAGUCCCGGCUGUUUUCGAAUAUUCUCAGGCAUUUUAAAGUUAGCCGCAGAGUCAGUCAGACACGAUUGUAAUUAUACAAAUCAUCCCGGUCAUUACCAUUGCAGAUUAUUCAAAUAAUACAAUUAUAUGUUUAACACUUGGCUCGGUUGAUAAUUACCGUUCCUUUUCUGGUGGAAACAAACAAAGCGACAUGCUAAAAUCUGUGUAGGAGGAUGUAAAGUAGAGUGGCGUAAAUAAAUAAAAAUCACACACACACACAUCGUUUCCCUCCCCUGUAUUUGAGUGUUGAUUGUCGGGGACAGAGCAGAGUGGACGUCCAAUCGCUGUCUGUUUUCUGUGCGUCCGUGUGUCUCUUGGUUGCUUGUUGUUACUGCUACUGCUGCAGGGCCUCUGCUGGCUGCUGCCAUGUGAUCCAGUCAUUUUACAUCAUGUGAACACUUUAUACUCACUUCUGCUGAUACACUGUAGGCCUCUAGUGAUUUAUUAGCUGUAAAAACUGGCGACAUUUGUCCACUAACUUAACUCCACCUUAAUGAAUACACUAUUAAUUGAAUAUGAUUUCAAAACCAGAUUCUUGUCACAUUUAUCGACUUCCAAUGCUUAACUGAUGCGAUAAUAACUGCUUACAAAAAGGCUCGUCAGUGACAAUGAUGUGGUAUAAAGUGCUGUCUUAGUGUCAUUCUGUGUGUGUGCCAGCCUGUAUUUGGAUUGUCUCUACUUGUUUUCCAAGAGCUGCCAUGCCGUAAAACACAUUGUUGACGCGUGACAUCAAAAUGCAAUGGACGAUUUCUUUUUGAAUUUGAUUUAAUGAAUUUAAAGCAUCAUUGUAACAGCUGCUGAUGGCACUGGGAUGUCUAAACUGCUAGUGAUCUAAUGUGAACGCCAUCUCUGCACACGUCUAUCUCUGCAGUCAAAGAGCUGUUGUGGUUGUGCACUAAUGUAUGCUGCUCUGUACUAAUGGCAUGCUGCUGCUGCUGCUGCUGCUGAUGAUUGUUUUAAAGCUAACCAGAGACGAACGCUGCAUGCAUUUCAAUCAUUCAACAACAGCAGUGAUGAUGAGAAUGUCAUUUUCCCCCUGUAAGUGUGCCUUAUUUCUGUCAAUAAAAUGUGGCUGUAAACAUAAAUAAACCCCUCUUUUGAAAUUGAAA
Long non-coding RNA from Dicentrarchus labrax (European seabass), 4797 nucleotides. RefSeq lists it as uncharacterized. NCBI's taxonomy places the organism in Eukaryota, Metazoa, Chordata, Actinopteri, Moronidae. The record is from RefSeq and is a predicted model, not a curated record. The transcript is spliced from 3 exons.